RNAcentral lists this ribosomal RNA (102 nucleotides) under Pteropus alecto (black flying fox). Lineage: Eukaryota; Metazoa; Chordata; Mammalia; Chiroptera; Pteropodidae. The record is from RNAcentral.
GUCUAUGGCCAUGCCACCCUGAACGUGUCCUAUCUCGUCCAGGAUCGGGCCUGGUUAGUACUUGGAUGGGAGACCACUUAGGAAUACCAAGUGCUAUACGCA